Molecule: ribosomal RNA, 254 nt
Filed under: uncultured bacterium
Lineage: Bacteria
Description: partial 16S ribosomal RNA
Rfam family: Bacterial small subunit ribosomal RNA
Source: RNAcentral
UACGGGGGGAGCAAGCGUUGUUCGGAUUUACUGGGCGUAAAGGGCGCGUAGGCGGUCAGCACAAGUCAGUUGUGAAAUCUCCGGGCUUAACUCGGAAAGGUCAACUGAUACUGUGCGACUAGAGUGCAGAAGGGGCAACUGGAAUUCCUGGUGUAGCGGUGAAAUGCGCAGAUAUCAGGAGGAACACCGGUGGCGAAGGCGGGUCUCUGGGCCGUAACUGACGCUGAGGAGCGAAAGCGUGGGGAGCGAACAGG